Molecule: ribosomal RNA, 1346 nt
Filed under: uncultured bacterium
Lineage: Bacteria
Description: partial 16S ribosomal RNA
Rfam family: Bacterial small subunit ribosomal RNA
Source: RNAcentral
GACGAACGCUGGAGGCGUGCUUAACACAUGCAAGUCGAACGGAAAGGCCCUGCUUUUGUGGGGUGCUCGAGUGGCGAACGGGUGAGUAACACGUGAGUAACCUGCCCUUGACUUUGGGAUAACUUCAGGAAACUGGGGCUAAUACCGGAUAGGAGCUCCUGCUGCAUGGUGGGGGUUGGAAAGUUUCGGCGGUUGGGGAUGGACUCGCGGCUUAUCAGCUUGUUGGUGGGGUAGUGGCUUACCAAGGCUUUGACGGGUAGCCGGCCUGAGAGGGUGACCGGCCACAUUGGGACUGAGGUACGGCCCAGACUCCUACGGGAGGCAGCAGUGGGGAAUAUUGCACAAUGGGCGGAAGCCUGAUGCAGCAACGCCGCGUGCGGGAUGACGGCCUUCGGGUUGUAAACCGCUUUCGCCUGUGACGAAGCGUGAGUGACGGUAAUGGGUAAAGAAGCACCGGCUAACUACGUGCCAGCAGCCGCGGUGAUACGUAGGGUGCGAGCGUUGUCCGGAUUUAUUGGGCGUAAAGGGCUCGUAGGUGGUUGAUCGCGUCGGAAGUGUAAUCUUGGGGCUUAACCCUGAGCGUGCUUUCGAUACGGGUUGACUUGAGGAAGGUAGGGGAGAAUGGAAUUCCUGGUGGAGCGGUGGAAUGCGCAGAUAUCAGGAGGAACACCAGUGGCGAAGGCGGUUCUCUGGGCCUUUCCUGACGCUGAGGAGCGAAAGCGUGGGGAGCGAACAGGCUUAGAUACCCUGGUAGUCCACGCUGUAAACGGUGGGUACUAGGUGUGGGGUCCAUUCCACGGGUUCCGUGCCGUAGCUAACGCUUUAAGUACCCCGCCUGGGGAGUACGGCCGCAAGGCUAAAACUCAAAGGAAUUGACGGGGCCCCGCACAAGCGGCGGAGCAUGCGGAUUAAUUCGAUGCAACGCGUAGAACCUUACCUGGGUUUGACAUGGAUCGGGAGUGCUCAGAGAUGGGUGUGCCUCUUUUGGGGUCGGUUCACAGGUGGUGCAUGGCUGUCGUCAGCUCGUGUCGUGAGAUGUUGGGUUAAGUCCCGCAACGAGCGCAACCCUUGUUCACUGUUGCCAGCACGUUAUGGUGGGGACUCAGUGGAGACCGCCGGGGUCAACUCGGAGGAAGGUGGGGAUGACGUCAAGUCAUCAUGCCCCUUAUGUCCAGGGCUUCACGCAUGCUACAAUGGCUGGUACAGAGAGUGGCGAGCCUGUGAGGGUGAGCGAAUCUCGGAAAGCCGGUCUCAGUUCGGAUUGGGGUCUGCAACUCGACCUCAUGAAGUCGGAGUCGCUAGUAAUCGCAGAUCAGCAACGCUGCGGUGAAUACGUUCCCGGGGCU